This 64-nucleotide transfer RNA is filed under the name Camelus bactrianus (Bactrian camel). It matches the Rfam family "tRNA". Rfam says of the family: Transfer RNA (tRNA) molecules are approximately 80 nucleotides in length. The record is from Rfam by way of RNAcentral. RNAcentral also lists the same sequence under 2 other names. Lineage: Eukaryota; Metazoa; Chordata; Mammalia; Artiodactyla; Camelidae.
GGGGGUAGGGUAGAGCACAUGCUUAGCAUGCAUGAGGUCCUGGGUUCAAUCCCCAGUAUCUCCA